RNAcentral lists this ribosomal RNA (511 nucleotides) under uncultured bacterium. Its description in RNAcentral is "bacterial SSU rRNA". It matches the Rfam family "Bacterial small subunit ribosomal RNA", at positions 957 to 1466 of the family's 1533-position model. The record is from RNAcentral.
CAACGCGAAGAACCUUACCAGGUCUUGACAUCUCCUGACAAUCCUAGAGAUAGGACGUUCCCCUUCGGGGGACAGGAUGACAGGUGGUGCAUGGUUGUCGUCAGCUCGUGUCGUGAGAUGUUGGGUUAAGUCCCGCAACGAGCGCGACCCUUGAUCUUAGUUGCCAGCAUUAAGUUGGGCACUCUAAGGUGACUGCCGGUGACAAACCGGAGGAAGGUGGGGAUGACGUCAAAUCAUCAUGCCCCUUAUGACCUGGGCUACACACGUGCUACAAUGGAUGGUACAAAGGGCAGCAAAACCGCGAGGUCGAGCCAAUCCCAUAAAACCAUUCUCAGUUCGGAUUGUAGGCUGCAACUCGCCUACAUGAAGCUGGAAUCGCUAGUAAUCGCGGAUCAGCAUGCCGCGGUGAAUACGUUCCCGGGCCUUGUACACACCGCCCGUCACACCACGAGAGUUUGUAACACCCGAAGUCGGUGGGGUAACCUUUUAGGAGCCAGCCGCCUAAGGUGGG